CAGACUGGACUCGAAAAUAAUUCAAGUACAUUUUGACCUCUUGUACGAACUGAAUUUAUAUAUAUUUUAUAUUUGUCCAAUAUAUUUUUAUAUUAAUAAAAA
Molecule: long non-coding RNA, 102 nt
Organism: Drosophila persimilis
Lineage: Eukaryota; Metazoa; Arthropoda; Insecta; Diptera; Drosophilidae
Exons: 2
Source: RefSeq, a predicted model, not a curated record